AUGGUCCUCACCGACCACGAUGGCACCACCGUGUGGCAAACUGAGGGCGACCUCCCAAAUGUCGAGUAUGCUCAGCUUCUUGACACCGGGAACCUCGUCCUGAAGAACACAAGCGGCAACAUUGUUUGGCAGAGCUUCGAUUCACCAACAGACACCUUCCUACCCACCCAGCGAAUCCCUGCCACGGCGAAGUUAGUCUCUACCAGCCGGCUGCAUGUUCCUGGUCACUACACCUUCCGUUUUAGUGACCAAUCCAUGCUGUCUCUCUUCUACGAUGACACCAAUGUUUCUGACAUAUACUGGCCUGAUCCUGAUUACCAGUACUAUGAGAAUAACAGGAACCUCUAUAACAGUACUCGGAUGGGGAGCCUUGAUGAUUUCGGGGAAUUUUUUGCCAGUGAUUUCGCUUGGCACCGGCCUCUUGUUGCCUCUGAUAGAGGCUAUGGGAUUAAGAGAAGACUUACUCUUGAUUCUGAUGGUAAUCUUAGGAUAUACAGCUUGAGCAAUGGAUCAGAUUCAAACAGGAGAUGGACAGUUUCAUGGGUGGCUGUGUCUCAGCCAUGCAUGAUACAUGGCCUGUGUGGUCCAUAUGGGAUCUGCCACUACUCCCCUGCACCAACAUGUUCUUGCCCACCUGGUUAUGCAAUGAGGAAUCCUGGCAACUGGACACAGGGAUGCGAGCUUACCGUAGAUACCAUCGGAUGCGCGGAUAGUGAACGGAGUGCGACAUUUUUGCAGCUUCCAAACACUGAUUUUUGGGGAUCUGAUCAGCAGCGCAUCAACAAAGUGUCUUUGGAGCGUUGUAUGGACGUAUGCUUGAGUGAUUGCACGUGCAAGGGUUUUCAGUACCAACAAGGAAAUGGCACAUGCUAUCCAAAGAAUCUUCUUUUCAAUGGGAGGAGUUUCCCAACACCUACUGUGCGAACGAUGUACAUCAAGCUCCCCACAAGUUUCAAUGUUUCAAAUACCUCAAUUCCACAGUCCAAUGUGCUCAACACUGAAAUACAUCGUCUCGAAUGUGAUCAUGUGAGCAAAACAAUCAUAGAACCAGUGCCAGACAUGGUUCGUGAAGAUGGCGGUGAUGAUUCAAAAUGGCUCUAUCUGUAUGGGUUCAUUGCUGCAUUUUUUGUCAUUGAGGUUUUCUUCUUCGCGUUUGCAUGGUUCUUCGUUCUACGGAGAGAGUUUAGGUCAUCGCAAUUAUGGGCAGCUGAGGAAGGCUACAAGGUGAUGACUAGUCAUUUCCGGAUGUAUAGUUACAGAGAGCUGGCCAAGGCGACUGAAAAGUUCAAACAUGAGCUUGGAUGGGGAGGUUCAGGUAUUGCCUACAAGGGAACCUUGGAUGAUGAGCGAGAGGUGGUCAUAAAAAGGCUGGAAAAUGUAACAAGGAACAGGGCAGAGUUCCAGGAUGAGUUGCAUGUCAUUGCAAGGAUUAACCAUAUGAAUCUGGCAAGAAUAUGGGGGGUUUGCUCAGAGAGAUCCCAUAGAAUGUUGGUCUUGGAGUAUUUUGAGAACGGCUCAUUAGCUAACAUACUAUUCAGCAACAAAAUCUUGCUGCAGUGGGGUCAGAGGUUCAACAUUGCUUUAGGUGUUGCAAAGGGGCUGGCCUAUCUUCACCAUGAGUGCCUAGAGUGGGUCAUCCACUGCAACCUGAAGCCGGAGAACAUUCUGCUGGAUCAAGAUCUAGAGCCUAAGAUCACCGACUUUGGGUUCGCAAAGCUGCUCAGCAGAACGGGGCCUAAUCAGAAUGUGUCUCGGGCGCGAGGAACCUUGGGCUACAUGGCUCCGGAGUGGGUCACUGGUUUACCGAUCACAGCGAAGGUUGACGUGUACAGCUAUGGGAUCGUGCUUCUUGAACUAGUGUCAGGAACAAGAAUUCUCGACUUUGUUGUUGAUUUGGAGGAGGAUGUCCAUGUGGUGCUCAAGAAGUUCAUUAAGAUGCUUUCUUACAGGUUGGAAGGGGAUGAACUGUUGUGGUUAACAGAGUUUGUAGAUGUCAGACUGGACGGCAAUUUCAACUACCUGCAAGCGAAAGAGUUGAUCAGGAUAGCCGUUUCAUGCCUGGAGGAGGACAGGAAGAACAGGCCAACAAUGGAAUCAAUAGUUGAGAGCCUCCUCUCAGUUGAAGAAGCUUCAGUUUGA
Molecule: ribosomal RNA, 2139 nt
Filed under: Triticum aestivum (bread wheat)
Lineage: Eukaryota; Viridiplantae; Streptophyta; Magnoliopsida; Poales; Poaceae
Description: partial small subunit ribosomal RNA
Source: RNAcentral